UCCGGUUUGUCACCGGCAGUCCCAUUAGAGUGCCCAACUAAAUGUAGCAACUAAUGGCAAGGGUUGCGCUCGUUGCGGGACUUAACCCAACAUCUCACGACACGAGCUGUCGACAGCCACGCAGCACCUGUGUUCCGGUUCUCUUUCGAGCACCAAGCCAUCUCUGGCAAGUUCCGGACAUGUCAAGGGUAGGUAAGGUUUUUCGCGUUGCAUCGAAUUAAUCCACAUCAUCCACCGCUUGUGCGGGCCCCCGUCAAUUCCUUUGAGUUUUAACCUUGCGGCCGUACUCCCCAGGCGGUCAACUUCACGCGUUAGCUACGGUACUGAGGAAUCGCUUCCCCAACACCCAGUUGACAUCGUUUAGGGCGUGGACUAC
This 376-nucleotide unclassified non-coding RNA is filed under the name uncultured Gammaproteobacteria bacterium. Its description in RNAcentral is "contains 16S-23S intergenic spacer region". The record is from RNAcentral. Lineage: Bacteria; Pseudomonadati; Pseudomonadota; Gammaproteobacteria.